GAGGAUGUAGCUUAGGUGGUAGAGCGCUCGCUUAGCAUGCGAGAGGUACUGAGAUCAAUAUUCAGCAUCUCCG
Molecule: transfer RNA, 73 nt
Filed under: Tropilaelaps mercedesae
Lineage: Eukaryota; Metazoa; Arthropoda; Arachnida; Mesostigmata; Laelapidae
Rfam family: tRNA
About the family: Transfer RNA (tRNA) molecules are approximately 80 nucleotides in length. Their secondary structure includes four short double-helical elements and three loops (D, anti-codon, and T loops). Further hydrogen bonds mediate the characteristic L-shaped molecular structure. tRNAs have two regions of fundamental functional importance: the anti-codon, which is responsible for specific mRNA codon recognition, and the 3' end, to which the tRNAs corresponding amino acid is attached (by aminoacyl-tRNA synthetases). tRNAs cope with the degeneracy of the genetic code in two manners: having more than one tRNA (with a specific anti-codon) for a particular amino acid; and 'wobble' base-pairing, i.e. permitting non-standard base-pairing at the 3rd anti-codon position.
Source: Rfam by way of RNAcentral